This 497-nucleotide ribosomal RNA is filed under the name uncultured bacterium. RNAcentral's name for it is "partial 16S ribosomal RNA". It matches the Rfam family "Bacterial small subunit ribosomal RNA", at positions 28 to 507 of the family's 1533-position model. The record is from RNAcentral.
GAUGAACGCUGGCGGCGUGCCUAAUACAUGCAAGUCGAGCGAACGGACGAGAAGCUUGCUUCUCUGAUGUUAGCGGCGGACGGGUGGGUAACACGUGGAUAACCUACCUAUAAGACUGGGAUAACUUCGGGAAACCGGAGCUAAUACCGGAUAAUAUUUUGAACCGCAUGGUUCAAAAGUGAAAGACGGUCUUGCUGUCACUUAUAGAUGGAUCCGCGCUGCAUUAGCUAGUUGGUAAGGUAACGGCUUACCAAGGCAACGAUGCAUAGCCGACCUGAGAGGGUGAUCGGCCACACUGGAACUGAGACACGGUCCAGACUCCUACGGGAGGCAGCAGUAGGGAAUCUUCCGCAAAGGGCGAAAGCCUGACGGAGCAACGCCGCGUGAGUGAUGAAGGUCUUCGGAUCGUAAAACUCUGUUAUUAGGGAAGAACAUAUGUGUAAGUAACUGUGCACAUCUUGACGGUACCUAAUCAGAAAGCCACGGCUAACUACGUG